Molecule: transfer-messenger RNA, 405 nt
Filed under: Prevotellaceae bacterium
Lineage: Bacteria; Pseudomonadati; Bacteroidota; Bacteroidia; Bacteroidales; Prevotellaceae
Rfam family: transfer-messenger RNA
About the family: Bacterial tmRNA, also known as 10Sa RNA or SsrA, is named for its dual tRNA and mRNA-like properties. Its role is to liberate the mRNA from a stalled ribosome. To accomplish this part of the tmRNA is used as a reading frame that ends in a translation stop signal.
Source: RNAcentral
GGGGAUGUUCUGGUUUCGACAGCAAGGGAAAUUGGGACGUAAGCAUGUCGAGCGUUGAGAUGGUGGCUCGUAAAUACCAACACUCAAGCCAUAACUGGCGAAAAUAACUAUGCACUCGCUGCUUAAUAUGCCAAGCAUAUUAACUUAAUCGGAUGAUCCAAGGUUGAUUGUCGGACGAGAAUCCCGCAAACAGGCCGCGCCUUUUGCCUAUUUGCAAUGGGGUUUCAUUUAAAAAAGGAUAGCGCAAACUUAGUCCUGUAAGUAUGUGCGAAAAUUUUAAGGAUAAGGAUUAUAUUCGGUCGUUUUUUACCUGAUGUAUUUCCCGACAAUAUAAAAAAACUAAACAUGUAGAAAGCGUAACGAUUACUUGUUUGGACGCGGGUUCGAGUCCCGCCAUCUCCACCA